Long non-coding RNA from Numida meleagris (helmeted guineafowl), 567 nucleotides. RefSeq lists it as uncharacterized. The record is from RefSeq and is a predicted model, not a curated record. The transcript has 5 exons. NCBI's taxonomy places the organism in Eukaryota, Metazoa, Chordata, Aves, Galliformes, Numididae.
CCCUGGCGGGGGGACGGUGGGGAUGGAACGCGAGGGGCGAGCCUGGAGGCUCUCCGCGGCCUUCUCCAGGGAGGCGACGGGAGGGAAGGAGGCAGCGCUCGGCCGUCGCCCCUCGGAGCUCCCAGGAUUGGAAAGGAAGGGAGGGGACCUGGGGCCUCUUCCCGCCCCCUCACCUGCUCGACAUCUGUGGUCACAGAAACAUUUGUAGAAUCAUUAAAGUUGGAAAGACCAAAUUUUCAGAGAAAAGGCAAUGGAGCUUAAUACUGAGAAAGGAGCGAGCUCCGAAGAGUGGUUGUUUCCUUUGAUGUUCUAAUGCACAACAGAGAGGUGAGGGCAUAUAUGAAUGCAGCUAACAUUGUGUAACCAGAAGAUCUCUCAAACAAAUCAUCACCUUCCUGUGUGGAAAUUAGAAGCUUUCAUGAGUAGUGUGCUCUAGUUGAUCCUGCUUUGAGCAGGAAGGUCUGGUGAGAAGAAUUUUGACAAAACAUUUUUCAUCAGAAACUGUUGAGUUGGUAAAACCAAAGCUUUUCACAGAAAUAUCUCUUUUUAAUAAAAAUUUCAUAAUAA